RNAcentral lists this ribosomal RNA (249 nucleotides) under uncultured bacterium. RNAcentral describes it as "partial 16S ribosomal RNA". It matches the Rfam family "Bacterial small subunit ribosomal RNA", at positions 15 to 273 of the family's 1533-position model. The record is from RNAcentral.
GAUCCUGGCUCAGGAUGAACGCUGGCGGCGUGCCUAACACAUGCAAGUCGAGCGAUUCUCUUCGGAGAAGAGCGGCGGACGGGUGAGUAACGCGUGGGUAACCUACCCUGUACACACGGAUAACAUACCGAAAGGUAUGCUAAUACGGGAUAACAUAAGAAAUUCGCAUGUUUUUCUUAUCAAAGCUCCGGCGGUACAGGAUGGACCCGCGUCUGAUUAGCUAGUUGGUGAGGUAACGGCUCACCAAGG